RNAcentral lists this unclassified non-coding RNA (603 nucleotides) under Penicillium catalonicum. RNAcentral describes it as "sequence contains 18S rRNA gene, ITS1, 5.8S rRNA gene, ITS2, 28S rRNA gene". The stretch from base 223 to 376 matches the Rfam family "5.8S ribosomal RNA". Lineage: Eukaryota; Fungi; Ascomycota; Eurotiomycetes; Eurotiales; Aspergillaceae. The record is from RNAcentral.
AGUCGUAACAAGGUUUCCGUAGGUGAACCUGCGGAAGGAUCAUUACCGAGUGAGGGCCCUCUGGGUCCAACCUCCCACCCGUGUUUAUCGUACCUUGUUGCUUCGGCGGGCCCGCCACUUGUGGCCGCCGGGGGGCACUUGCCCCCGGGCCCGCGCCCGCCGAAGACACCAUUGAACGCUGUAUGAAGAUUGCAGUCUGAGCUUAUUAGCUAAAUUAGUUAAAACUUUCAACAACGGAUCUCUUGGUUCCGGCAUCGAUGAAGAACGCAGCGAAAUGCGAUAAGUAAUGUGAAUUGCAGAAUUCAGUGAAUCAUCGAGUCUUUGAACGCACAUUGCGCCCCCUGGUAUUCCGGGGGGCAUGCCUGUCCGAGCGUCAUUGCUGCCCUCAAGCACGGCUUGUGUGUUGGGCCCCCGUCCCCCUCUCCCGGGGGACGGGCCCGAAAGGCAGCGGCGGCACCGCGUCCGGUCCUCGAGCGUAUGGGGCUUUGUCACCCGCUCUGUAGGCCCGGCCGGCGCCUGCCGACCACCAUCAAUCUUUUUUCAGGUUGACCUCGGAUCAGGUAGGGAUACCCGCUGAACUUAAGCAUAUCAAUAAGCGGAGGA